This 500-nucleotide ribosomal RNA is filed under the name uncultured bacterium. RNAcentral's name for it is "partial 16S ribosomal RNA". It matches the Rfam family "Bacterial small subunit ribosomal RNA", at positions 30 to 523 of the family's 1533-position model. The record is from RNAcentral.
AUUGAACGCUGGCGGCAUGCCUUACACAUGCAAGUCGAACGGCAGCACGGGAGCAAUCCUGGUGGCGGGUGGCGAACGGGUGAGUAAAGUAUCGGAACGUGCCCAGUCGUGGGGGAUAACGUAGCGAAAGUUACGCUAAUACCGCAUACGAUCUAUGGAUGAAAGCGGGGGAUCGCAAGACCUCGCGCGAUUGGAGCGGCCGAUAUCAGAUUAGGUAGUUGGUGGGGUAAAGGCUCACCAAGCCGACGAUCUGUAGCUGGACUGAGAGGACGACCAGCCACACUGGGGCUGAGACACGGCCCAGACUCCUACGGGAGGCAGCAGUGGGGAACUUUGGACAAUGGGCGAAAGCCUGAUCCAGCCAUGCCGCGUGCAGGAUGAAGGCCUUCGGGUUGUAAACUGCUUUUGUACGGAACGAAAAGGUUUGGCCUAAUAAGCUGAGCUCAUGACGGUACCGUAAGAAUAAGCACCGGCUAACUACGUGCCAGCCGCCGCCGUAA